RNAcentral lists this ribosomal RNA (292 nucleotides) under uncultured Planctomycetota bacterium. RNAcentral describes it as "uncultured planctomycete partial 16S ribosomal RNA". The record is from RNAcentral. Lineage: Bacteria; Pseudomonadati; Planctomycetota.
GGACUACUCGGGUAUCUAAUCCCGUUUGCUCCCCUGGCUUUCGCGCCUCAGCGUCAGAAAGGGUCCAGCAGCGCGCUUUCGCCACCGGCGUUCCUUCCGAUAUCAACGCAUUUCACCGCUCCACCGGAAGUUCCCGCUGCCCCUACCCCACUCGAGACCACCCGUCUCCAGGGCUAUUUUCCGGUUGAGCCGAAAGAUUUCACCCCGGACUGGAUGACCCGCCUACGCGCCCUUUAAGCCCAGUGAUUCCGAACAACGUUCGCACGGUUCGUCUUACCGCGGCUGCUGGCAC